CCAAAAGAGAACCCCGGGCUCUGUCCAGGUGGCACAGGGGAGCAUAGGACUCUUGCCCCGUGAUGUACAGUCCCUUUCCACAACAUUGGAGAAGAAGCUGGGCCUUGUGUCUGCGCCUGCAUAU
RNAcentral lists this small nucleolar RNA (124 nucleotides) under Cavia porcellus (domestic guinea pig). RNAcentral's name for it is "Small nucleolar RNA SNORA73 family (ENSCPOG00000031607.1)". It matches the Rfam family "Small nucleolar RNA SNORA73 family", at positions 1 to 156 of the family's 219-position model. Rfam says of the family: U17 (SNORA73A and SNORA73B) also known as E1 belongs to the H/ACA class of small nucleolar RNAs (snoRNAs). Vertebrate U17 is intron-encoded and ranges in length from 200-230 nucleotides, longer than most snoRNAs. It is one of the most abundant snoRNAs in human cells and is essential for the cleavage of pre-rRNA within the 5' external transcribed spacer (ETS). Lineage: Eukaryota; Metazoa; Chordata; Mammalia; Rodentia; Caviidae. The record is from RNAcentral.